UGGAUCCAGACUUUGAUCAUGGCUCAGGAUGAACGCUAGCUACAGGCCUAACACAUGCAAGUCGAGGGGAAACGGCAGCUUAGCUUGCUAAGCUGGACGUCGACCGGCGCACGGGUGAGUAACGCGUAUCCAACCUGCCCCACGGUGAGGGAUAACCCGCGGAAACGCGGCCUAAUACCUCAUGGUCUCCGAGCUUGACAUCAACCUUGGAGUAAAGAUUCAUUGCCGUGGGAUGGGGAUGCGUCUGAUUAGCUUGUUGGCGGGGCAACGGCCCACCAAGGCAACGAUCAGUAGGGGUUCUGAGAGGAAAGCCCCCCACAUUGGAACUGAGACACGGUCCAAACUCCUACGGGAGGCAGCAGUAAGGAAUAUUGGUCAAUGGGCGAGAGCCUGAACCAGCCAAGUAGCGUGCAGGACGACGGCCCUAUGGGUUGUAAACUGCUUUUAUGCGGGGAUAAAGCGGGCGACGUGUCGCCCUUUGCAGGUACCGCAUGAAUAAGGACCGGCUAAUUCCGUGCCAGCAGCCGCGGUAAUACGGAAGGUCCGGGCGUUAUCCGGAUUUAUUGGGUUUAAAGGGAGCGCAGGCCGGGUAUUAAGCGUGUUGUGAAAUGUAGGCGCCCAACGUCUGCACCGCAGCGCGAACUGGUGCCCUUGAGUACGCACGACGUUGGCGGAAUUCGCCGUGUAGCGGUGAAAUGCUUAGAUAUGGCGAAGAACUCCGAUUGCGAAGGCAGCUGACGGGAGCGCUACUGACGCUCAUGCUCGAAAGCGCGGGUAUCGAACAGGAUUAGAUACCCUGGUAGUCCGCGCGGUAAACGAUGGAUGCCCGCUAUUUGCUCAUUAGCGCAAGUGGCCAAGUGAAAACGUUAAGCAUCCCACCUGGGGAGUACGCCGGCAACGGUGCAACUCAAAUGAAUUGACGGA
Molecule: ribosomal RNA, 924 nt
Filed under: uncultured Bacteroidota bacterium
Lineage: Bacteria; Pseudomonadati; Bacteroidota
Description: bacterial SSU rRNA
Rfam family: Bacterial small subunit ribosomal RNA
Source: RNAcentral